RNAcentral lists this ribosomal RNA (498 nucleotides) under uncultured bacterium. RNAcentral describes it as "partial 16S ribosomal RNA". It matches the Rfam family "Bacterial small subunit ribosomal RNA", at positions 30 to 523 of the family's 1533-position model. The record is from RNAcentral.
AUUGAACGCUGGCGGCAUGCUUUACACAUGCAAGUCGAACGGUAACAGGCCGCAAGGUGCUGACGAGUGGCGAACGGGUGAGUAAUGCAUCGGAACGUGCCCAGUCGUGGGGGAUAACUAUCCGAAAGGAUAGCUAAUACCGCAUACGAUCUGCGGAUGAAAGCGGGGGACCUUCGGGCCUCGCGCGAUUGGGGCGGCCGAUGUCAGAUUAGGGAGUUGGUGGGGUAAAGGCUCACCAAGCCAACGAUCUGUAGCUGGUCUGAGAGGACGACCAGCCACACUGGGACUGAGACACGGCCCAGACUCCUACGGGAGGCAGCAGUGGGGAAUUUUGGACAAUGGGCGCAAGCCUGGUCCAGCAAUGCCGCGUGCAGGAAGAAGGCCUUCGGGUUGUAAACUGCUUUUGUACGGAACGAAACGGCUCUGGUUAAUACCUGGGGCUAAUGACGGUACCGUAAGAAUAAGCACCGGCUAACUACGUGCCAGCAGCCGCCGUAA